Molecule: ribosomal RNA, 257 nt
Filed under: uncultured bacterium
Lineage: Bacteria
Description: partial 16S ribosomal RNA
Rfam family: Bacterial small subunit ribosomal RNA
Source: RNAcentral
UACAGAGGUCUCAAGCGUUGUUCGGAUUCAUUGGGCGUAAAGGGUGCGUAGGUGGCGUCGUAAGUCGGGUGUGAAAUUUCGGAGCUUAACUCCGAAACUGCAUUCGAUACUGCGGUGCUUGAGGACUGGAGAGGAGACUGGAAUUUACGGUGUAGCAGUGAAAUGCGUAGAGAUCGUAAGGAAGACCAGUGGCGAAGGCGGGGUCUCUGGACAGUUCCUGACACUGAGGCACGAAGGCCAGGGGGAGCAAAACGGGG